UGAGCAUGUUGAUCUCUUUUGUGCCCACGUG
RNAcentral lists this non-coding RNA (31 nucleotides) under Mus musculus (house mouse). The record is from RNAcentral. Lineage: Eukaryota; Metazoa; Chordata; Mammalia; Rodentia; Muridae.